CUUUCAUCAAGACCAAUGACACUAUUUGACAUUAAGUCAAAUCGUGCAGAGAAAAACUGGGGCAAAAGUCUUAUUUUGUAAUUUGUCAGAAUGGGUUCUGAAAAGCUGUGCUUGCUCCCAAGGGUUUCCUGCAGGCGAAAAGGAAACUUCCCUAAGACAGAAGAGGGAAUCCACCAUUUGGCCCCGGAUGGAUGGUCUCAGCCACAGGACAGGAACAAGGACAGGAAUCUGCUCACAGGUCCCCGCCCAGCUGCUCUCUGACCGGCCACAGUAUUCAGGCCAAGACACUCAGCUGUGACUGCGAAUGCUACUUGUCUGACCUAAGGAUCUAAGGACUGUAGCUGCCUUGUUUGCAUUUCUUACUCCAACGAUAACUCAAAGAAAAGAAAAUGAAUCACCGUGGAAAAUGAGGGGAGGGUGCAAAAGUAGUGCCGCAGAGCCUCAGAAUCCUCCCACCUGCCCUCCACCUGCAUCUCCACCAGCCCAUUCUCACCCUUCCCCACAUCGCAGGAGAGGAACCGCCCAGUUUCCGGGAAGACAGGGUCACUUGGUUUAGCUGGAGUGGUCCCACUCUUCCUAAGUACCUGGUCUUCACAGUAGCUGCUGUGGCAGGGAAGGACGCAAUCCCAGGACUAGACUCUUAUCUUCUCCUUUUGCCCAGGCCCCACCAGCUUCCACACUGAACAACACGGGGCCUGUGGAUCCAUCCUCAUCCCCUCCCUAAGCUACUGACCCACUCCCCUCCCCCUCCUGGCAUUGAUGGGCUGUCCUCAGGGAAGCCAGUGACCCUAGUCCAGGGCCUCAGACCAGGGUCAAGGGGCAGAAUGUCUACACCAGGCCAGGGAUCCCUGCAGACUGGUCUUCGGGAAGUGCACCCCCAGAUGCAAUCAGUUCACAGAGGAAAACCACAUUUUGUUUAGUCUUUUCCUAGUCUAGAAGGCCUAGUAUUUAAUAAACCCUGGAGCCAGCCCUGAGGGGGACUGGCUUUUAUGGGCUCCAGGCAGCUCUCUCAGCCUCUUCCCAGGUGGGGGGGCUUGGCCUGUUGGCAGCUGACUUGAGUUUUCUUCCCAGCCCCACCUCGCCCAAUGCCCCCACCUUUUCCAUGAGAUGAAGAGAAACUUGGCCUCCAAGGGUCACUCUUCUCCCCAGGAAUGUGUGGCCCAGCUUCUCCAGUUUAAAAGACUUUCCUCUGCUCCAGGGCUGACCCCAAACAGAUGGGAACCUCUAGAGCUUGGUUGGCCAAUGCCAUGUUCAGCCCAGUCACAGCUGAGAUCUUGUCACCUAGGUGAGUGCUUUACUGCUGGAGAAGUAGCAAUCAAGAGAACAGUUCUUUUUAACAUGGACAUGAGAGAUUUUAGGGACCAGUCCCCAGUGCUCAAAUCAUAGCAGGUCCCACCCAAGAACUUGGCUCAUCCACAAACCAAGCUCCUGCCAAGCCCUGGCUUAUGGAGAUGGACCAGACAUUCCUGGGGCAUCAUGGCAGGCGGCCACUGAUGCUGUCUCAAAUCCUGGGGUUCCAUAUUACGGAGAGAAUCAGCUGCAAAAGGCAACAAUUGUCUUUGAGUCACCCCUGCCCUUCCAAAAAUCAGGCUUUCAAGAGUUGAAGGCGUGAAGCGUAAUGCAGGGAAUUUCUGACAGUGCAGAGGGUAUCUGACAGGCUGGGAUGUUCCAGCGAUGACUGAACACGCAGAUUGAAUGGAACACUGAUUACAUUCUUGGUUAGCCGCCUAUAUAGCCCAUACUGGGUCCUCAUUACAUGUGCCCUAACAACAAACAUUAUGUUUCAUUAAAAUAUUACACACUUAGGAAAAUACUUCUAAAAAUGCAAAGAGGAGAAUAAAAACUACCGCAAGUGCUAUACUGAGACCCAGCGCUGUGGCAAGUUCCCCUGACCUGUCUGCAGGGAUCAUUACAAGCCGAUACUGGCUGCCCAGCGGGACCUGAUGAGACAUCAGAGAGCUCACGUGACCUCCAUUAUCACUGUCACCGCCGUGCGUGCUGUUCACACAAACAUCGGAGAUGUAAGUGACACUUUACAACAAUUCCUGAGCCUUCCAUCAUGUGGCUCAGAAUGUCAUGGCCCAGAUGAUGUCGGGGGGUAUUAAAACAAAUAAAUGAACCAUCGAACAAGUAAAUAAAUAAAUACACAAAGGAAAGCGGGGAGAGAGAGGGAAGGAACCGGUUAGGGCACUCACACAGUGCAGAGGAGUCUGAAAAGGAAUGCUGCCUGCUGGCGCCCUGGCUCUCUGUCUCUCUCCCUGUCUUUCUGUCUCUGUGUGUGUUUUUCCUCACUCUCUGUCUCUCUCGCCAUCUAGCUGUCUCUCCUCUCUCGGCCCUUUCUCAUCAUAAACCCCCUUACAUGUGAUCUCCUUUAAUCCUCACAACAGCCUGAUGUAGUCACUGGCUUUCCUCCUAUUUUACAGCUGAGAAAACUGGAGCUCUGAGAGAUGGACUACCUUGCUCCAAGACACACAGGCAGGACUGAGUUACUGCUUUCCUGAGAGGAGGGAACUACAUCACUCCCCAAAAGGAAACUGGAGACCACGCUAGGCGAGCACAGCUUUCCUGAAUGCCAGCAUACCAGGGCUGGAGGUGCAGGUUUGGUGCUGCCUCCGUCACCCUAAGCCCUCAACAUCUCCAUCCCCUGGUCUCUUGGUAAACAGCUAAGCCAAGAUGGCCAGAGCUGGGAGGAUGAUUGGGCUGAGUCAUGUCACUGUAGCCCACAGACAAGUCUGCAACCCAUUAAAGACUUCUCUUCUCCAUUAAUUUCAGAGACAAAGAGACGUUUGAAGUUUAAUGUCAUUCUCUUGCUCAGCCUUCCUCAAUGAGGCCCCCAGAAGGGUGAGUGAGGGGCUCUCGGAAGGAGUGGGGCUACUGCAGGGCUGGCUCCAGCCGCAGUGUGGGAGUACCCAGGUCUUUGCUUGGAACAAACACCUAUUUGACAGACAGCAGUUGGGUCCUGGGUAGAACCAUUGAGACCAGCUACCAUUCCUGGUUCUGAAAUUUAAUAAUGAAAUAAAUGUAAUCACACAUAUUUAAUUAAGCCAUUUCUUAAUAAUCAUUAUCAUAGCAUGGCACACUCCCCACACGCCUGGCAUAGCAAGGCACUAUCAUACGCAUAGAAGCAUAGACCUUUGCUGAGAGCGUCACUCCGUACCAACCCCAGACUCAGUAGCGGUGAGAACUUGCCCAAGUCAAAAGCUUCCCUGCGGCUCAUUUCCUCCUCUGUAGAACGGGGGACUGAAAACAAGGAACAGGCAUCGGGACAGCGGAUCAUGAAACUGGUGCCCCAUGCAGUGGGUACUCUAAAAUACGAAGGAGCAGGUUUCGGGUGCAGCAGCAGCAAGGAUAGAGCUGAAACACAGAUGCCUAAGGGAAGG
RNAcentral lists this long non-coding RNA (3380 nucleotides) under Homo sapiens (human). RNAcentral describes it as "HSALNT0269463". Lineage: Eukaryota; Metazoa; Chordata; Mammalia; Primates; Hominidae. The record is from RNAcentral.